RNAcentral lists this transfer RNA (73 nucleotides) under Ignavibacteriota bacterium. RNAcentral describes it as "Ignavibacteriae bacterium (activated sludge metagenome) tRNA-Gln". It matches the Rfam family "tRNA". Rfam says of the family: Transfer RNA (tRNA) molecules are approximately 80 nucleotides in length. Their secondary structure includes four short double-helical elements and three loops (D, anti-codon, and T loops). Lineage: Bacteria; Pseudomonadati; Ignavibacteriota. The record is from RNAcentral. RNAcentral also lists the same sequence under 1 other name.
UGUCUCGUAGUGUAACUGGCAACACGUCUGACUCUGGAUCAGAAGACUCUAGGUUCGAACCCUAGCGAGACAG